GCCAUUUUACCAAGAAAGUUGGGUUUCUUUUACUGGCAAAUAGUACUUCAAGAGCACAGUCUUAUGUAAGCAUGACCCAUCUGCCUGGCACCAGCACCUGGGGCUGCCAGGCAGCCACCCCUGCAGCUGUGUUGACAGGGCCUGGCAGAGGGACUGACCCACCUUUGGAAAAUGACACCAGCAAUAUCAGGAUGUGUCAACUGGAUUUAUGUUAAGAAAAUAGGAUUUUUGGUGUUCCUCUGUUUCCCAAAGUUUGAGACACUUUCAGACACUCUGCUUUGCGGUUGUGGCCGAUGUUACCCAUGGGUGGGACUUUUGCUUUGCUCUAGAUUUUUGUAACACCCUGGGGAGUUUCAGGGGCCAAUGCUGAGAGAAGACCACAGGCUGACACAUCAUGAGGUGCCUAACUUACUGAGAAUCAUGCCUGCUGUGAUGAGCCCUUGGAAACCAUCAGGACUGGAUGGUAGGGGUCCUGAGAGGAUUGGGGGAGGAGGCCUUGAUAUGACAGAGUGGACAGAGGCUGUGGAACCCAGGACGGCCAGCCUGCUCCACAAUCCUCAUCCCCACAGACCUUCAUGUGUGGCUCCUAAAUAAGAGGAAACCCACUCCUGAUAAGUCAGGGGCUUU
Molecule: non-coding RNA, 627 nt
Filed under: Pan troglodytes (chimpanzee)
Lineage: Eukaryota; Metazoa; Chordata; Mammalia; Primates; Hominidae
Source: RNAcentral